Molecule: ribosomal RNA, 468 nt
Filed under: uncultured bacterium
Lineage: Bacteria
Description: partial 16S ribosomal RNA
Rfam family: Bacterial small subunit ribosomal RNA
Source: RNAcentral
GACGAACGCUGGCGGCGUGCUUAACACAUGCAAGUCGAACGGAAAGGCCCUGCUUUUGUGGGGUGCUCGAGUGGCGAACGGGUGAGUAACACGUGAGUAACCUGCCCUUGACUUUGGGGUAACUUCAGGAAACUGGGGCUAAUACCGGAUAGGAGCUCCUGCUGCAUGGUGGGGGGUGGAAAGGUUCGGCGGUUGGGGAUGGACUCGCGGCUUAUCAGCUUGUUGGUGGGGUAGUGGCUUACCAAGGCUUUGACGGGUAGCCGGCCUGAGAGGGUGACCGGCCACAUUGGGACUGAGAUACGGCCCAGACUCCUACGGGAGGCAGCAGUGGGGAAUAUUGCACAAUGGGCGGAAGCCUGAUGCAGCAACGCCGCGUGCGGGAUGACGGCCUUCGGGUUGUAAACCGCUUUCGCCUGUGACGAAGCGUGAGUGACGGUAAUGGGUAAAGAAGCACCGGCUAACUACGUG